GGAAACCCAGUGUGAUUCGUCACACUAUCAUUAACUGAAUCCAUAGGUUAAUGAGGCGAACCGGGGGAACUGAAACAUCUAAGUACCCCGAGGAAAAGAAAUCAACCGAGAUUCCCCCAGUAGCGGCGAGCGAACGGGGAGGAGCCCAGAGCCUGAAUCAGCAUGUGUGUUAGUGGAAGCGUCUGGAAAGGCGCGCGAUACAGGGUGACAGCCCCGUACACAAAAGCGCAUGUGCUGUGAGCUCGAUGAGUAGGGCGGGACACGUGGUAUCCUGUCUGAAUAUGGGGGGACCAUCCUCCAAGGCUAAAUACUCCUGACUGACCGAUAGUGAACCAGUACCGUGAGGGAAAGGCGAAAAGAACCCCGGCGAGGGGAGUGAAAAAGAACCUGAAACCGUGUACGUACAAGCAGUGGGAGCACCCUUUGGGUGUGACUGCGUACCUUUU
This 446-nucleotide ribosomal RNA is filed under the name Salmonella enterica subsp. enterica serovar Enteritidis. RNAcentral's name for it is "partial 23S ribosomal RNA". It matches the Rfam family "Bacterial large subunit ribosomal RNA", at positions 122 to 609 of the family's 2925-position model. The record is from RNAcentral. Lineage: Bacteria; Pseudomonadati; Pseudomonadota; Gammaproteobacteria; Enterobacterales; Enterobacteriaceae.